GGAAGAGUUCCCGAGUGGCUAAAGGGGACGGACUGUAAAUCCGUUGGCACCGCCUUCGAUGGUUCGAAUCCAUCCUCUUCCA
This 82-nucleotide transfer RNA is filed under the name Bacillota bacterium. Its description in RNAcentral is "tRNA-Tyr". It matches the Rfam family "tRNA". From Rfam's summary of the family: Transfer RNA (tRNA) molecules are approximately 80 nucleotides in length. Their secondary structure includes four short double-helical elements and three loops (D, anti-codon, and T loops). Further hydrogen bonds mediate the characteristic L-shaped molecular structure. tRNAs have two regions of fundamental functional importance: the anti-codon, which is responsible for specific mRNA codon recognition, and the 3' end, to which the tRNAs corresponding amino acid is attached (by aminoacyl-tRNA synthetases). tRNAs cope with the degeneracy of the genetic code in two manners: having more than one tRNA (with a specific anti-codon) for a particular amino acid; and 'wobble' base-pairing, i.e. permitting non-standard base-pairing at the 3rd anti-codon position. The record is from RNAcentral. Lineage: Bacteria; Bacillati; Bacillota. RNAcentral also lists the same sequence under 1 other name.